This 72-nucleotide transfer RNA is filed under the name Cordylochernes scorpioides. RNAcentral's name for it is "tRNA-Glu". It matches the Rfam family "tRNA". Rfam says of the family: Transfer RNA (tRNA) molecules are approximately 80 nucleotides in length. Their secondary structure includes four short double-helical elements and three loops (D, anti-codon, and T loops). Further hydrogen bonds mediate the characteristic L-shaped molecular structure. tRNAs have two regions of fundamental functional importance: the anti-codon, which is responsible for specific mRNA codon recognition, and the 3' end, to which the tRNAs corresponding amino acid is attached (by aminoacyl-tRNA synthetases). tRNAs cope with the degeneracy of the genetic code in two manners: having more than one tRNA (with a specific anti-codon) for a particular amino acid; and 'wobble' base-pairing, i.e. permitting non-standard base-pairing at the 3rd anti-codon position. The record is from RNAcentral. Lineage: Eukaryota; Metazoa; Arthropoda; Arachnida; Pseudoscorpiones; Chernetidae.
UUCCACGUUAUCUAGUGGUUAGGAUAUCUGGAUCUCACCCAGGAGGCCUGGGUUCGAUUCCCGGCGUUAAAA